Molecule: ribosomal RNA, 465 nt
Filed under: uncultured bacterium
Lineage: Bacteria
Description: partial 16S ribosomal RNA
Rfam family: Bacterial small subunit ribosomal RNA
Source: RNAcentral
GACGAACGCUGGCGGCGUGCUUAACACAUGCAAGUCGAACGGAAAGGCCCUGCUUGCAGGGUACUCGAGUGGCGAACGGGUGAGUAACACGUGGGUGAUCUGCCCUGCACUUCGGGAUAAGCCUGGGAAACUGGGUCUAAUACCGGAUAGGAGCCAGUUGUAGUGUGAUGGUUGGAGAGUUUUUUCGGUGUAGGAUGAGCUCGCGGCCUAUCAGCUUGUUGGUGGGGUAAUGGCCUACCAAGGCGGCGACGGGUAGCCGGCCUGAGAGGGUGGACGGCCACAUUGGGACUGAGAUACGGCCCAGACUCCUGCGGGAGGCAGCAGUGGAGAAUAUUGCACCAUGGGCGCACGCCUGAUGCAGCGACGCCGCGUGGGGGAUGACGGACUUCGGGUUGUAAACUCCUUUCGCUAGGGACGAAGCUUUUUGUGACGGUAACUAGAUAAGAAGCACCGGCUAACUACGUG